GUCCUAUUUCUGCUUUGAACACUCAGUUA
Molecule: non-coding RNA, 29 nt
Filed under: Rattus norvegicus (Norway rat)
Lineage: Eukaryota; Metazoa; Chordata; Mammalia; Rodentia; Muridae
Source: RNAcentral